This 345-nucleotide unclassified non-coding RNA is filed under the name soil metagenome. Its description in RNAcentral is "partial contains 5.8S ribosomal RNA, internal transcribed spacer 2, and large subunit ribosomal RNA". The stretch from base 1 to 120 matches the Rfam family "5.8S ribosomal RNA", at positions 35 to 154 of the family's 154-position model. The record is from RNAcentral.
GAUGAAGAACGUAGCGAAAUGCGAUAAGUAAUGUGAAUUGCAGAAUUCAGUGAAUCAUCGAAUCUUUGAACGCACAUUGCGCCCCUUGGUAUUCCGAGGGGCAUGCCUGUUCGAGCGUCAUUUCAACCCUCAAGCACAGCUUGUGUGUUGGGCCUCCGUCCUCCUCCCGGGGGACGGGCCCGAAAGGCAGCGGCGGCACCGCGUCCGGUCCUCGAGCGUAUGGGGCUUCGUCACCCGCUCUUGUAGGCCCGGCCGGCGCUUGCCGACACAUCAAUCUUUUUUCCAGGUUGACCUCGGAUCAGGUAGGGAUACCCGCUGAACUUAAGCAUAUCAAUAAGCGGAGGA